CGCCGCGUGAGUGACGAAGGCCUUCGGGUCGUAAAGCUCUGUUGUAUGGGAAGAAAAAAAAUGACGGUACCAUGCGAGAAGGGACCGGCCAACUUCGUGC
Molecule: ribosomal RNA, 100 nt
Filed under: uncultured bacterium
Lineage: Bacteria
Description: partial 16S ribosomal RNA
Rfam family: Bacterial small subunit ribosomal RNA
Source: RNAcentral